Molecule: transfer RNA, 65 nt
Filed under: Ceraphron sp. MM-2014
Lineage: Eukaryota; Metazoa; Arthropoda; Insecta; Hymenoptera; Ceraphronidae
Description: tRNA-His
Source: RNAcentral
AUUCAAAUAGUUUAAAAUUUAAAAUAUUAGUUUGUGGAAUUAGAGAUAUUACUUAGUUUUGAAUU